RNAcentral lists this transfer RNA (74 nucleotides) under Pajaroellobacter abortibovis. It matches the Rfam family "tRNA". From Rfam's summary of the family: Transfer RNA (tRNA) molecules are approximately 80 nucleotides in length. The record is from Rfam by way of RNAcentral. Lineage: Bacteria; Pseudomonadati; Myxococcota; Polyangiales; Polyangiaceae.
GCGCCCAUAGCUCAGCUGGACAGAGCAUUGGUCUACGGAACCAGAGGUCGGAAGUUCGAAUCUUCCUGGGCGCG